GAUGAACGCUGGCGGCGUGCCUAAUACAUGCAAGUCGAGCGAACAGAUGAGGAGCUUGCUCCUCUGACGUUAGCGGCGGACGGGUGAGUAACACGUGGAUAACCUACCUAUAAGACUGGGAUCACUUCGGGAAACCGGAGCUAAUACCGGAUAAUAUAUUGAACCGCAUGGUUCAAUAGUGAAAGACGGUUUUGCUGUCACUUAUAGAUGGAUCCGCGCCGCAUUAGCUAGUUGGUAAGGUAACGGCUUACCAAGCAAACGAUGCGUAGCCGCCCUGAGAGGGUGAUCGGCCACACUGGAACUGAGACACGGUCCAGACUCCUACGGGAGGCAGCAGUAGGGAAUCUUCCGCAAUGGGCGAAAGCCUGACGGAGCAACGCCGCGUGAGUGAUGAAGGUCUUCGGAUCGUAAAACUCUGUUAUUAGGGAAGAACAAAUGUGUAAGUAACUAUGCACGUCUUGACGGUACCUAAUCAGAAAGCCACGGCUAACUACGUG
This 497-nucleotide ribosomal RNA is filed under the name uncultured bacterium. Its description in RNAcentral is "partial 16S ribosomal RNA". It matches the Rfam family "Bacterial small subunit ribosomal RNA", at positions 28 to 507 of the family's 1533-position model. The record is from RNAcentral.